This 257-nucleotide ribosomal RNA is filed under the name uncultured prokaryote. RNAcentral describes it as "partial 16S ribosomal RNA". It matches the Rfam family "Bacterial small subunit ribosomal RNA", at positions 524 to 780 of the family's 1533-position model. The record is from RNAcentral.
UACGUAGGGUGCAAGCGUUGUCCGGAAUUAUUGGGCGUAAAGAGCUCGUAGGCGGUUUGUCGCGUCUGCUGUGAAAUCCCGAGGCUCAACCUCGGGCUUGCAGUGGGUACGGGCAGGCUAGAGUGCGGUAGGGGAGAUUGGAAUUCCUGGUGUAGCGGUGGAAUGCGCAGAUAUCAGGAAGAACACCGAUGGCGAAGGCAGGUCUCUGGGCCAUUACUGACACUGAGAAGCGAAAGCAUGGGGAGCGAACAGGAUUA